GAAAUGCGAUAAGUAGUGUGAAUUGCAGAAUUCAGUGAAUCAUCGAAUCUUUGAACGCACAUUGCGCCCCCUGGUAUUCCGGGGGGCAUGCCUGUCCGAGCGUCAUUGCUGCCCUCAAGCCCGGCUUGUGUGUUGGGCCCUCGUCCCCCGGCUCCCGGGGGACGGGCCCGAAAGGCAGCGGCGGCACCGGCUUGCAAGCCGUGCUUGAGGGCAGCAAUGA
Molecule: unclassified non-coding RNA, 220 nt
Filed under: uncultured Ascomycota
Lineage: Eukaryota; Fungi; Ascomycota
Description: sequence contains ITS1
Rfam family: 5.8S ribosomal RNA (bases 1-105)
Source: RNAcentral